GACAGAGGGUGCAAACGUUGCUCGGAAUCACUGGGCGUAAAGGGCGUGUAGGCGGGAAUGUAAGUCGGGCGUGAAAUCUACAGGCUCAACUUGUAGUCUGCACGAGAAACUGCCGGGCUUGAGUGUGGGAGAGGUGAGUGGAAUUCCUGGUGUAGCGGUGAAAUGCGUAGAUAUCAGGAGGAACACCUGUGGCGAAGGCGGCCAUCUGGGACAACACUGACGCUGAAGCACGAAAGCGUGGGGAGCAAACAGG
RNAcentral lists this ribosomal RNA (253 nucleotides) under uncultured bacterium. Its description in RNAcentral is "partial 16S ribosomal RNA". It matches the Rfam family "Bacterial small subunit ribosomal RNA", at positions 524 to 776 of the family's 1533-position model. The record is from RNAcentral.